This 227-nucleotide ribosomal RNA is filed under the name uncultured bacterium. Its description in RNAcentral is "partial 16S ribosomal RNA". It matches the Rfam family "Bacterial small subunit ribosomal RNA", at positions 107 to 334 of the family's 1533-position model. The record is from RNAcentral.
UGAGUAACACGUAUCCAACCUGCCGUCUACUCUUGGACAGCCUUCUGAAAGGAAGAUUAAUACAAGAUGGCAUCAUGAGUUCACAUGUUCACAUGAUUAAAGGUAUUCCGGUAGACGAUGGGGAUGCGUUCCAUUAGAUAGUAGGCGGGGUAACGGCCCACCUAGUCUUCGAUGGAUAGGGGUUCUGAGAAGAAGGUCCCCCACAUUGGAACUGAGACACGGUCCAA